AUUGAACGCUGGCGGCAGGCCUAACACAUGCACGUCGCACGAGUGGCGGACGGGUGAGUAAUGUCUGGGAAACUGCAUGAUGGAGGGGGAUAACUACUGGAAAAGGUAGCUAAUACCGCAUACCAUCGGAUGUGCCCAGAUGGGAUUAGCUUGUUGGUGGGGUAACGGCUCACCAAGGCGACGAUCCCUAGCUUGUCUGAGAGGAUGACCAGCCACACUGGAACGGAGACACGGUCCAGACUCCUACGGGAGGCAGCAGUGGGGAAUAGUGCACAAUGGGCGCAAGCCUGAUGCAGCCAUGCCGCGUGUAUGAAGAAGGCCUUCGGGUUGUAAAGUACUUUCAGCGGGGAGGCGUUACCCGCAGAAGAAGCACCGGCUAACUCCGUGCCAGCAGCCGCGGUAAUAC
Molecule: ribosomal RNA, 406 nt
Filed under: uncultured bacterium
Lineage: Bacteria
Description: partial 16S ribosomal RNA
Rfam family: Bacterial small subunit ribosomal RNA
Source: RNAcentral